GCUUAACACAUGCAAGUCGAGCGGAAAGGCCACUUCGGUGGUACUCGAUCGGCGAACGGGUGAGUAACACGUGAGUAACCUGCCCCCGACUCUGGGAUAACCCCGGGAAAUCGGAGCUAAUACCGGAUACGAGACGCACAGGCAUCUGCAGCGUCUGGAAAGAAUUUCGGUCGGGGAUGGACUCGCGGCCUAUCAGCUAGUUGGUGGGGUAACGGCCCACCAAGGCGACGACGGGUAGCCGGCCUGAGAGGGCGACCGGCCACACUGGGACUGAGACACGGCCCAGACUCCUACGGGAGGCAGCAGUGGGGAAUAUUGCACAAUGGGCGCAAGCCUGAUGCAGCGACGCCGCGUGAGGGAUGACGGCCUUCGGGUUGUAAACCUCUUUCAGCAGGGACGAAGCGCAAGUGACGGUACCUGCAGAAGAAGCGCCGGCCAACUACGUGCCAGCA
This 452-nucleotide ribosomal RNA is filed under the name Aplanochytrium stocchinoi. RNAcentral's name for it is "partial Bacterial small subunit ribosomal RNA". It matches the Rfam family "Bacterial small subunit ribosomal RNA", at positions 46 to 513 of the family's 1533-position model. The record is from RNAcentral. Lineage: Eukaryota; Bigyra; Thraustochytrida; Thraustochytriidae.